Molecule: ribosomal RNA, 206 nt
Filed under: uncultured bacterium
Lineage: Bacteria
Description: partial 16S ribosomal RNA
Rfam family: Bacterial small subunit ribosomal RNA
Source: RNAcentral
UACGAAGGGGGCUAGCGUUGCUCGGAAUUACUGGGCGUAAAGGGCGCGUAGGCGGACAGUUUAGUCGGGGGUGAAAGCCCGGGGCUCAACCUCGGAAUGCCUUCGAUACUGGCUGUCUUGAGUACGGGGAGAGGUGUGUGGAACUCCGAGUGUAGAGGUGAAAUUCGUAGAUAUUCGGAAGAACACCAGUGGCGAAGGCGACACAC